Long non-coding RNA from Numida meleagris (helmeted guineafowl), 639 nucleotides. RefSeq lists it as uncharacterized. NCBI's taxonomy places the organism in Eukaryota, Metazoa, Chordata, Aves, Galliformes, Numididae. The transcript is spliced from 3 exons. The record is from RefSeq and is a predicted model, not a curated record.
CUUCCGUUUCCGCCGGCCGCUGCCCCACCAGGCCCCGGCGCUGCGCCUUCACCGCCGCUGGGGGGAGCGCUUCCCUCAGCCGAUGCGCGGGGCGCAUCUUCGGCCCCGGGUGUGGGAAUCGAAGGGAUGCAGGAUCGGAGGUUUCAGUCACUCCAGAGAUGUUUUCCUCCUUCAGCCCCUGGAUUUCUGUCGCCAUACAACAUCGUGAUAGACCACCAACUGAAAAACUGCAGCUCAUAGAUUCGGAUCUGGCUGAAUUCUACCAUCCACCUCAGGAAUACAGUGCUCUGCUACACAGUGUGCAGCAAACCAUGUUUUGGUUUCAAAUAUAAUUCUCACAAAUCUCAUAUGACCUUGGGCUAUGAGCCACAGACUGAACCUCCUGUUCAAACCUGACCCAGCUCUUUGCACAACCUGAGCAGGAGGAAAUGUGAGACGUAACGUUGGCAGCUCUGGUUCCUGAUGUGUGUCACCCAUUCCCCUUCAGCAAUUUCCCCAUCUUCUCCAAAGCUGAGGUGGGAGAAGAGCCCCCUGUCACCCACAACACCUGCACAGGCCUCUGGGCAUGCAGGGUGAGAGCAGCAAAGAGGAAGGGAAAACUCAUUUAAGGAGAUUUUUUAAAUAAAAAUGUGCUGGUUU